This is a long non-coding RNA of Sinocyclocheilus grahami, 123 nucleotides long. RefSeq lists it as uncharacterized. The transcript is spliced from 3 exons. The record is from RefSeq and is a predicted model, not a curated record. NCBI's taxonomy places the organism in Eukaryota, Metazoa, Chordata, Actinopteri, Cypriniformes, Cyprinidae.
CCCGGAUGAGUGGUGUGUUAUUCAAUUUGGCGGUUGUUAUCUGGGAAUAACAUACCGCUGGAUGGCGCGAUUGACCAAUCAGAAUCAAGUAUUCCACAGAGCCGCACUGUUUAUAUCAACAAU